UAUGUGGUCGUGUUUGAGAGACUGGCAAGAAAUGUAUCAUGGAUAGCUUUGUUGGUGAUGUGGAGGAGUUUUUUACUCUAAGUCCAAUGGAACUGUUGGAAGCUUUUAAGCCCUAAUCAAUUUGACCUGUAUUAUGCUUUAAAAGGUCAUUCUGGCUGGCUGCUGUGUGGAGAAUGGACUCUGCAGAGGAAGAAGUAGAAAUAGCCCAUUGAAGUCCAGGUGUGACAUAUUGGUUGCUGGGAUUAGGGCCAGAACAAUGGAGAUGGUGAGUUGAUGGGCUUGUACAGAUCUUUCUACCUGAGCCAGAUGUCAUGCAAGAUCCUGGCGAAAUGGAGAUGAAAAGACCCAUACCAGCUUUCAAGGAGUAGCUGUCAGAUAAGUGGGCGAUUGCAGUAUGUGAAGCUAGAAGCUCAGCAUGUGUGGCUUAAGUCGUGUGAGCCUCAACAUCCGCAUCUCUAUAAUGGAAGUCUCAAGGAUCAUCCUCACUGAGCUAUUGUGAGCAUUGAGCCAAUACAUAAGGAGGAAACCUUUUGUAAACAGCAAGCAUAUAUGAGACCUCCUUAUUAGUAUACUUGGUCAUAACUAUGUUUACAAAAGUAAUAACCACAAUGAUAUGAUGAAUUCUAUGGUCAUAAAAGGAGGUCCCAUGGAAGUCCCUAGAAGUGGCAAGUCAAUGUGUUUUUCAAACCCAGGUUCUCCCUUAAAGGGAACCAGCACAUCAACAAGACAGGAGCUUGUCAGCUUUCUCUCUCGCUGAAUCUGGGCCAGGCCCAUUGCCUGAAUUUUAUGUUAAAUAAUAAAAGCACUGACAUUAAAUGUGUUGCCACGAAUCAACAACCUAUUUAAGGUAAGGUAUUAUGGCACAGCGGUCCCCAAGCAAUGUGUGUUUUAAAAAAAUAUGCUUAGAACUGCAAGUGCUUUGUGUAGCUGCUUCACAAAAUCACUAGAGCUGAAGUAUUUGUAUUUUAAUGUUUAUCCCCAAACUGGCCUGCUGUUUUCAAAUUGCCCAGGAAACAAAAUGUUGAAAAUGGAAGGAAACCAGCACAAGCUAGAUUUAGAAAUGCAGUGUUAGUAAAGCAAGCUGUGGGGUUCUGAUACCUUAAGAGCACCAUAAAAUGCUCAUAAUUAAAUAACUGUUUUUCUUAACACAGCUAUUCCUAUUUUUCCCCCAGCCACUUAUGUAAAAGCAUUUAAUGUUCAUUCUUUCAUUACCAACCAGAGACUCUUGUAAAGAGGGAGCUGGUCCCAGAAAUUGUUAAAAAUAUUUUAAUAAUGGGGUCUUUUACAAGAGGAAAACUGUAUUAGGAAACGAAAUCAGGCUCUAGAUACUUCCUGUGGUUAUUUUUAUUGGCAAUGGGCCCACAAAUGAUUUAUAUGGAGGAGGAUCAUGCCAUGGAGCUGCUACCUGAACAACAGUGGUAAAAGCAAUAACAAAAUGCAUUCUGGUUGUCGGUGUCACAGAGACUGUGGAGGAGCAGGGGGCUACCAGUAUCUGAAGAAAGAGAGACAAGUGUGCUGGGGAACCAUAACACGGAACAGCCGGGCUUCCAGAUAAUUAAUGGAAGGAAGGAAGGGGAUGAAACCCAAAUCAGGUGGGAUUUCAAGCGCUCCUACCACGGAUGGGCAUAAUUUAUACAACAUUUUGAAAGCCUCACACCAACUAUAUGAGGUGAAUGUGCAGCCAAGGCUGAAAUCGCUUAAGUAACUCUGUCAAGUUUGCACAGGGAGGAGGUAGCAGAGAUAGUGGGAUGUCUCACGUCUGCAUGACUCUCAAUCCCGUUUGUUCUCUGCUAUUCAGUGAAUAAUACUGAGGUAGCAAGUGAAAGUAUGAAUGAAGUGGGAAGUGUUCGAGACUUGUAGCAGAAUGCAAGAGAAGGAGAAAAUGCUGUUCAAUGGUAUUUCCCCAAGUAUGGUCCUGGGUCAUCUGCCUCAGAAGCACGUCAAAAGUUUGUAAAAAAUGAAAAAUUCCAGGUCUUCCCACUGUAGAUUACGGAAUCCGAUUCCCUAGGUGUGGGGCUCAAGGAUAUCAGGUUAUUCAUUUAUUCCCCAAGAACCUAAAUUGAUUCUCAUGCACACUUAGGAGACAACCAUAACCACCAAUAUGUCUUAAUUUGUUCUUUAUACUUAACUUAAUGGGAGUGUACUCCGAGGAGAUACCUCUCACAGCACUGUCGGUUAGUGAAACACAUUUUCAGAAACGCUCGUUCAUAUUUAUAUAAUUAUAAACUUGUCCAACCCUUCUGCUGUGUGAACAGAGGACCCUUAGGAACAUGAGUUUGAGGUUAUUGUAAAUAUCUUUGCUGUGGUAUGAUGGCUGUUUCUAAGAGACAUUCAGUAAGUGUUCAUGUUCCUAUACCCAAUGGGAAAUCUUUUUUCAGUUCACACUUUAAUCAGGAAGUAAUUUUUCCCACGAGAGUGGUGUAUUAGCUGUUGCUGUGUAACAAAUCACUGCAAAACCCAAUGCCUUACAACAACAAAAAGGAUGCACGUGAAGGACAUGCAAAAGACAAAGCCAACCUCAGAAGGCCAUAUAUGAUAUAAAUUAUAUAACAUUCUUGGCAAAACAAAAUUACAGAAAUGGAGAAGAGAUCAGUGAUUUCCAGGGGUUAAGGAUGAUGUAUGGGAUGGAUAUGACAAUCAAAGGGUAGCAUGAAGAUCUUUGUGGUGAUAGAGAAGUUCUGUAUCUUGAUUCUUUGUCUUGAUUACCCUGGUGGUUAUAAGAAUCUACACCAUGGGUAAGAUGGCAUAAAACUCUACACUCAUAUGCUACCUGCUUUGAUUUUUGGUUUUGAUUUUGUACUAUAGUUUUAUAAGAUGCAAUCAUUGGGGGAAACUGGGUGAAGUACACAUGAGAUGUCUCUGUAGGAAUCCUGCAGU
This is a long non-coding RNA of Acinonyx jubatus (cheetah), 2877 nucleotides long. RefSeq lists it as uncharacterized. The record is from RefSeq and is a predicted model, not a curated record. The transcript has 3 exons. NCBI's taxonomy places the organism in Eukaryota, Metazoa, Chordata, Mammalia, Carnivora, Felidae.